Molecule: long non-coding RNA, 587 nt
Filed under: Eucalyptus grandis
Lineage: Eukaryota; Viridiplantae; Streptophyta; Magnoliopsida; Myrtales; Myrtaceae
Description: long non-coding RNA (EGRA_LNC007875)
Source: RNAcentral
CUAGGAUUCUUACCUUGCUUCCUAGUUCCUUUUUCAAGUGACUCUUGGCCAAGGAAACCACGAAAUUGUCCUCUGGAAGCACGUGGAAACUGGUUCCUUCGAGCUGAAAGUGAGAUCUGCAGAAGAAAAGGUGACAACGAAGGUUUUCGUUGACUUCCAAAAUUAGAUUUCCAAACCUUCCUUGUUGGCCAAGUUCAAAUCAACCAAAACUAUAUGUAUUAUAGUUUGGCUUGUAAGUCAUGGCUUUCCUCAAUUGUCUCUCAAGUUUCUCAAAAGCACUCGCUUUUCCUCACUCAUGAACAAUCAGGCUCAACACUUAGAAAAAUUUCGGACUUUCUUGGCCUGCCAGGAGGGCACUGUUUUCGGGGGGCUUUAGGAGGCCUUCCCGAUCUCCAUUUGGGACUUGCGACCUAUGGUUGGAAAGAUAUUUGAGUGAAGUUUCACUCUCUAGUUUAAGGUUUUGGCUAAUUUUGGCUGCAGGUUUGCGAAAAUCUCACUUUUCUCUCAGAAGAUUGAUCUGGAAUUUCUGGGUUUUCAUUUCUGGAGUUGCUUCUGAGGGCCUCUUUGGGGGACGAUUCCGAGCUCUC